This 460-nucleotide long non-coding RNA is filed under the name Setaria viridis. Its description in RNAcentral is "long non-coding RNA (SVIR_LNC004485)". The record is from RNAcentral. Lineage: Eukaryota; Viridiplantae; Streptophyta; Magnoliopsida; Poales; Poaceae.
CAACAGCGAUGCGCUCGAAGUUAAAGCUUAGAUAUUACUCGAUAAACAGAACUUACAGAAUUGGUCGGAGAUCGUGUCGAUGCAACCCUGCCAACCUGUACGAACUCGUGAAAGAAAAAGAUGUAUUGGUGAAGUCGUCGACUUGAAAGUAAAGUACGAUAAAAAAGUAGAUUGUUUGUCUUGAUUGAUGUGUUGUUUUACAAAUAUCUAAAGAUGGCUAUUUAUAGCCUGUUACAACUGAUUUCCUAACUGACUAGGAUCUAUCUCUAAUUUUAAAUGAAAAUGAAUAUUUACAAACACAACUCGUAUCGGAGUUGGUUAUUAUACUCCCACGGGCCAAAUUCUCUCUAUCUUCUUUCUCUAGCUCACUUUAAGCCCAUAUUGGCCCAAUCGCUCCAGCCUUCCAAUCGGCCGACCUCCACCAACUCCAUUUGCCAAUCGCUCGAAACACUGUAGCGCC